Molecule: small nuclear RNA, 106 nt
Organism: Epinephelus lanceolatus (giant grouper)
Lineage: Eukaryota; Metazoa; Chordata; Actinopteri; Perciformes; Serranidae
Source: RefSeq, a predicted model, not a curated record
GUGUUGCGUCAGCAAUACACACAAUAAAAUUGGAACGAUACAGAGAAGAUUAGCAUGGCCCCUGCGCAAGGAUGACACGCAAACUCGUGGAGCGUUCCAGAUUUUA